Non-coding RNA from Malus domestica (apple), 804 nucleotides. The record is from RefSeq and is a predicted model, not a curated record. Lineage: Eukaryota; Viridiplantae; Streptophyta; Magnoliopsida; Rosales; Rosaceae.
CUUGAUACUGACGGAAACACCACGAAUUGAGGCGCAACACCAAUACUGUAACAAUUAUAAGAAAAGAGCUCCAAACCCGCAAAGAAGUAGGAUUACAAAUAAAUAGCAGCAUGUGAACUAAAUACAAAACAAUCAAGAUUGAACUUGAUCUGCAGCAGCCGCAUCGUCUGAGGAAUCCGUGUUGGAACAGAACUGUAUUUGUGCAGGUAGUAUUGUAGUCGGUUUAUCGUUAUUUGUACCCAGUAAGACCUAAUGGACAAUAAAUUCUCUUAUAAGCAUGGGGAAAGUAGCGAAAUCCAAGUUUUAUUCUCUUACAUCUGCCUGUGUUUCCAGAUCUGGCAAACGUAUUUGAAGUGUUGUUGCCACAACUUCUGUUGUAUCCCAAUCCUUUUGACGCUUUAAACGGAGAGGCUGCAGCUUUAAUGAUGUUUUACCAAGCUGCUUAUGAACAAAGAGUUAAAGCUUGAAGGAGAUUGUGAAAAAUUGGACUGACUCCUCCAACAAAGCUAUCAACCGCCUCCUUGCCCAAGGUGGUACAAUAGUUCUAUCCGAUCAUGGUCGCUAUUUUUCAAAGGAUGCUGUGGAAUUUCAAGAUUGAAAACCGCUGGCUUUCAAUCUUUUAAAACAAAUUACCUUUGUAAGGUAUCAAAACUAUAAUUUUUCUAUAGCAAAUAAAAUUCUUUCCUUCACUAUGGUAAUUUUGUUUAGAUUAAUUAAUGUUACACUGAUACUAACUCAAAUUUAUACACUGCUAUAAGAUCAAUUUGUAAUCCCGCAGCAACGCGCGGGCAUUACUAGCUAGUA